CCUACGGGUAGCAGCAGUGGGGAAUCUUGCGCAAUGGGCGAAAGCCUGACGCAGCGACGCCGCGUGCGGGAGGAAGCUCUUCGGGGUGUAAACCGCUGUCGGGGGGGAAGCGGUACCUCCAAAGGAAGCACCGGCUAACUCUGUGCCAGCAGCCGCGGUAAUACAGAGGGUGCGAGCGUUGUUCGGAAUUACUGGGCGUAAAGCGCGCGCAGGCGGCUUCUUAAGUCCGCGGUGAAAGACCGGGGCUCAACCCCGCGUCAGCCAUGGAUACUGGGGAGCUGGAGACAGGUAGAGGCAAGCGGAAUUCCGGGUGUAGCGGUGGAAUGCGUAGAUAUCCGGAAGAACACCGGAGGCGAAGGCGGCUUGCUGGACCUGUCUGACGCUGAGGCGCGAAAGCGUGGGGAGCGAACAGGAUUAGAUACCCCAGUAGUC
Molecule: ribosomal RNA, 432 nt
Filed under: uncultured bacterium
Lineage: Bacteria
Description: partial 16S ribosomal RNA
Rfam family: Bacterial small subunit ribosomal RNA
Source: RNAcentral